RNAcentral lists this ribosomal RNA (253 nucleotides) under uncultured bacterium. RNAcentral's name for it is "partial 16S ribosomal RNA". It matches the Rfam family "Bacterial small subunit ribosomal RNA", at positions 524 to 776 of the family's 1533-position model. The record is from RNAcentral.
UACGAAGGGGGCUAGCGUUGUUCGGAAUUACUGGGCGUAAAGGGCGCGUAGGCGGCGUGUCAAGUCAGGCGUGAAAGCCCCGGGCUCAACCUGGGAACCGCGCUUGAGACUGGCAUGCUCGAGUUCGGGAGAGGAUGGUGGAAUUCCCAGUGUAGAGGUGAAAUUCGUAGAUAUUGGGAAGAACACCGAUGGCGAAGGCGGCAUCCUGGACCGGCAUUGACGCUGAGGCGCGAAAGCCAGGGGAGCAAACGGG